AAACUUGCCACUUCGCUCCAGCUGCAACAAGGACGUUAGAACAAUAUCAGUAAGAAUGACAAACUUUGGAACUUUGUGUAGAAUAUGAGAAUCCCACUUUAAAAUGAUUAUGUUUACUAACUUCACUAUCACACUUCUUUAAUCUCAAAUAUAAUGAAUUUCAUACGCUUAAUGUAGAUUCUAUACGAAGAUUUGGCAUAAAGAUUAGCUAAGAUUGCAUUACCUUAAGUUUCAAGUAAGCAAU
Arabidopsis thaliana (thale cress) is the source of this 244-nucleotide long non-coding RNA. RefSeq annotates it as other RNA. NCBI's taxonomy places the organism in Eukaryota, Viridiplantae, Streptophyta, Magnoliopsida, Brassicales, Brassicaceae. The record is from RefSeq. The transcript has a single exon.